CGGCACGGACGGUAAAACAGACAGGUUGUAUCGUUUGUUCGUGAGCUCACAAAGCAGCUAGCUGGCCUGCUGAACAAAGCAUGUCGCCCACUCUGAGCAGCUUCCGUCUUCUUCUGAUUCGACUUGUUUUGCUGGCUCUCCUGAUAGGCAGCGGCGUCCCCAUGCCCUCGGCUCAGCAAGGCAGCGCACGAGUCCAUAAUCCGCAUGGUCCACCGCAGACCCAUGGUACUGGUUUUAGCUACGACAUUAUUCGUGCUAAUGGUGCAAUAGGCUAACCCACGAAACUCACCUAUAAGCCAAAUAAGUAGCGAACCUAUUUAUUUUGAUCUAUAUGGAUUAGCGGCUUACUCACUUAUACCCUUGAUUCGUGCUGGAUAAAUAUGUAGAUCGUGUUGUUACCGCUCUAUAUUAUACUCCUACUCCCUCCGUUGAAAUUGUAAUGCCUGGUUUUUAUUGAUUAUUUCGGAAAAUCGCUCCUUGGCUAUAUAAUAGCAAUGCCUCCAACUCUGUUUUACCACAAAGUUAAGUGUAAUUACAAAUUUAGUAUAUAAUUGAGCAGUAUGUACAUUUAGUUUGCCACUUA
Molecule: long non-coding RNA, 583 nt
Organism: Oryza sativa Japonica Group (Japanese rice)
Lineage: Eukaryota; Viridiplantae; Streptophyta; Magnoliopsida; Poales; Poaceae
Source: RefSeq, a predicted model, not a curated record